UUGGAGGGCAAGUCUGGUGCCAGCAGCCGCGGUAAUUCCAGCUCCAAUAGCGUAUAUUAAAGUUGUUGCAGUUAAAAAGCUCGUAGUUGAAUUUCGGGGUCAGUAGGUUGGUCGUGCCUAUGGUAUGUACUGGCUUUACUGAUUCCUCCUUCUUGAAGAACUGUAAUGUCAUUAAUUUGGUGUUGCAGGGAAACAGGACUGUUACUUUGAAAAAAUUAGAGUGUUUAAAGCAGGCUAACGCUUGAAUACAUUAGCAUGGAAUAAUGAAAUAGGACGUUCGAUCCUAUUUUGUUGGUUUCUAGGAUUGACGUAAUGAUUAAUAGGGAUAGUUGGGGGCAUUAGUAUUCAAUUGUCAGAGGUGAAAUUCUUGGAUUUAUUGAAGACUAACUACUGCGAAAGCAUUUGCCAAGGAUGUUUUCAUUAAUCAAGAACGAAAGUUAGGGGACCGAAGACGAUCAGAUACCGUCGUAGUCUUAACCAUAAACUAUGCCGACUAGGGAUCGGAUGAUGUUAAUUUUUUAAUGACUCAUUCGGCGCCUUACGGGAAAC
This 549-nucleotide ribosomal RNA is filed under the name uncultured Glomeromycotina. RNAcentral's name for it is "SSU rRNA". It matches the Rfam family "Eukaryotic small subunit ribosomal RNA", at positions 548 to 1098 of the family's 1831-position model. Lineage: Eukaryota; Fungi; Glomeromycota. The record is from RNAcentral.